GUUAGGAAUAUUGGACAAUGGGCGCAAGCCUGAUCCAGCCAUGCCGCGUGAACGAUGAAGGCCUUCGGGUUGUAAAGUUCUUUAGCCGAUGAUUAUAAUGACUGUAGUCGGAAAAUAAGCCCCGGCUAACUUCGUGCCAGCAGCCGCGGUAAUACGAAGGGGGCGAGCGUUAUUCGGAAUCACUGGGCGUAAAGCGUGCGUAGGCGGUCUCGUAAGUUAGGAGUGAAAGCCCAGGGCUCAACCUUGGAAUUGCUCUUAAUACUGCAAGGCUAGAAUCUCGGAGAGGAUAGCGGAAUUUCCAGUGUAGCAGUGAAAUGCGUAGAUAUUGGAAGGAACACCAGUGGCGUAAGCGGCUAUCUGGACGAGUAUUGACGCUGAGGCACGAAAGCGUGGGGAUCAAACAGGAUUAGAAACCCCAGUAGUCC
This 425-nucleotide ribosomal RNA is filed under the name uncultured bacterium. RNAcentral describes it as "partial 16S ribosomal RNA". It matches the Rfam family "Bacterial small subunit ribosomal RNA", at positions 354 to 796 of the family's 1533-position model. The record is from RNAcentral.